This 345-nucleotide unclassified non-coding RNA is filed under the name soil metagenome. RNAcentral's name for it is "partial contains 5.8S ribosomal RNA, internal transcribed spacer 2, and large subunit ribosomal RNA". The stretch from base 1 to 119 matches the Rfam family "5.8S ribosomal RNA", at positions 35 to 154 of the family's 154-position model. The record is from RNAcentral.
GAUGAAGAACGCAGUGAAAUGCGAUACGUAAUGUGAAUUGCAAAUUCAGUGAAUCAUCGAGUCUUUGAACGCACAUUGCGCCCCCUGGUAUUCCGGGGGGCAUGCCUGUCCGAGCGUCAUUGCUGCCCUCAAGCACGGCUUGUGUGUUGGGCCCCGUCCUCCGAUCCCGGGGGACGGGCCCGAAAGGCAGCGGCGGCACCGCGUCCGGUCCUCGAGCGUAUGGGGCUUUGUCACCCGCUCUGUAGGCCCGGCCGGCGCUUGCCGAUCAACCCAAAUUUUUAUCCAGGUUGACCUCGGAUCAGGUAGGGAUACCCGCUGAACUUAAGCAUAUCAAUAAUCGGAGGA